Brassica rapa (field mustard) is the source of this 2846-nucleotide long non-coding RNA. RefSeq lists it as uncharacterized. The record is from RefSeq and is a predicted model, not a curated record. Lineage: Eukaryota; Viridiplantae; Streptophyta; Magnoliopsida; Brassicales; Brassicaceae.
GUAGGAGGUGGUGGUGAAGAUGAUGGAGUUGGACUUGGCACAGCUGGUGUAGGAGACGGUGGUGGUGGUGAAACCGGUGGCGUGGGACUUGGCACAGCCGGUGUUGGAGGUGGUGGUGAAACAGGUGGAACUGGAGCCGGAGGAGUGUAUCCACCGUCAUCUUCGCCAUCAUCAUCAUCACUGCCGGGGGAAGGAGGGCCACAUAUGGGUUUGCAAGAAGCACAUUCAACAUGACAAGAGUCAGGGCAGAACUUGGGGCAAACAUGUUCCAAGUUGUAGCAAUGUUUGUACUUCUUGAUCUUACAUGUUGCAUGGCUUGGGUUUUUGGCUAUGCCCGGUGGUGUAUCAGCCAUUGUUAGUGCGAGUGAUGCAAGGAGUAUGCAUCCCAAUAUCUGAACUCUUGUGGCUAGAGCCAUUGCCAAACCUAAAAAGAUAGAAAUUUUUUUUUUUUCAAUUGUUGUGUGCUUUAGGAUUUGAUAGUUUUCUGAUGUGGUUCAAGUACUCUGAUAGGGUUUAUAUAGAUAAAUAUGUAGAUUUCUUUAUUAUCAAGUUGGGGUAUUGUAAUCUUUUAAGUAAGCUGUUCCUGAUAUAAAAAAACAACUGUUCCUAUUUCUAAGGACGGUCAAUUAAACAAAUAUUAACACAUUGGCUUUAAUUUAUAUACAUAACAAAACAACAUUAUUUUCUAUACAUGCUUCAAGCUCUUUUGUUGAAAGCAAAUAGGUCUCUAAAAUAGUAUUAUGUUAACUAGUAGGCUAAAAAUUUCAGAAUAUAGUUGAGAUUACAAUUAGAAUCUCAACUAUAAUUAUUAAAAUUUCACAAUAAUUAACUAGUAUACAUCAAAAGCCUUGACCAGUGAGUAUGUCUUCACAAUCGUGAGGGGUGCCAUCAUAAGAUGAUCUGGUUAAAAUUUAGGUUUGAGUUAAAAUCUGAUGGUAUAUACGAAUACGAUUGGUUUGAGAUUUCGGUUUAAAAAUUAGAAAUUUGGUUUGUUAAAAAUUGUUAAUUAUAUAUAUGUGUAUGAUAUAGCAGUUUUUAUUUGCCUAAUCACUAAUUAUCAUCAAAAUUGUAUAAUAAGGCCAAUAUUUUAUAUAGACACAGUGGAAAACAUAUAACAGUAUAUCGAUGAUCUUAUUACACUGAAUUUAAAUGAUCCCGAAAAUAUAUUAUUUGUUGGAAUAUUGUAAAUAUCAAUUGAAUUUUGAAUGAAAAUAAAAGAGAGAAACAAGCAUGAUCCUUAGUUGUGAUAGGUAAUCAAUCUUACCGUCAAGUCAACCUCAUAUUAAUUAAACUAGCCAAUCGAUACACUUUCAUGUAUGACGAUAUAUCUAACAAAAUUGUUAAGAAGAGUUUAGAUUCCACUUUAUGCAGUUCCAAGUAAUAUAAAUUAAUGGGUAUAACAACUUCACAAGUUUAAAUUAAUGCUAACUUAUAUGUAUUUUUACAUGCAAGUUUAGGGGGAAUCACUUUGCUACAAAGUGAACCGCAUGCUACUUUUUGUUGUAGCGCAUUUUGCUGAAGUUAAGAUAUUAUUUAAAUUAUAUGAAGAUUUUAAAUUUAAUGAUUAAGUGAAAAAGUUUUUUGCUAAUGUAAAAAAACUAAAUGCGUAAUUUGGUUAUUUCUUAAAUGCACCAAAGUGAAAACACAAUUUUGUUUCGUUUAUUUUACUAUCAUGUUCUAUUUUUCUAACAAAGUUUGCACUUUGAGAAAAUUAGUCUAGUUCAGUUUAGCUCAUUUUAAUUGGGAUUUACUCUACAAUAAAAAGUAAACCAUAUAUAUAUAACUCAUGUUAAAGUUCUUUAACAAAAAAAAAGAAGUUCAAGUUUUUUUAUAAUCCAGUUCAAUUCUACUUUGGGUAAACCUAGCUGACAAUUCCCUAUACUUGAGUAAAUCCUGUAAAAUUUGAGUUAAACGUUAACAGCGAGUUUAUACAUAUAAUUUACACUAUGCUGGUUUUAGCCCUGGUAAUACUGUAGUUUACAUUAUGCUAAUAGAUUUAUUAAGAUGUACAUCGUGUACUAAACGUCAUUUAGUUUAUUCGUAAAGAGACGAAUGACAAUCGAGAGCAGAACCUUUGACUUUGGGGGUGGGGGAUCACAUGAUGAAAACAAAAAUGAUAAGUUAAGCCAUGAAAACACCUUUACAGCUAUGUUUCAUUUUUAUAAUUUGUCUUCUAUUUGAAGAAAAAUAGAAAACUCGCAUCUAAUGUUUUUUUUCCUCUGUUAGAGUUAACAUUCCGUCGAAAUUAAUACUAUCGAAUAUUUUCCUCUUUAACAUUCCGUCGAAAUUAUAGUGACAAAUAUAACAUUUCUCUAUUAUAAAGGAACACAUUAGAACAAAAAUACCAUCUCUAUUUUUUCCUCUAUUUUAAAGAUCUCUAUUAUCUAUUAUAAAGGUGGAUUGGAGAUGUUCUGACUGACAAGCUUUAUAUGUAAUUCACUUGCAUGCAUGUAUCCGUGAUUCAAGGGAGACAGCGACUAUAGGUAUGACCGUCUAAGUCUGUUAUUUUAAUAGUUUAGACUAGAUUUCAACCCGCACAACCGUGCGGGUAUUAAUUUUCAUGUUUAUAUAUAUUUUACAUAAUUAGAAUAUAUUUUUAAAGUUACUUAUAUAUUUAAAUGUUUAUAUAUAAUUAUUUUAAAUAUAACAAUUUGAUAGUUUUCAUGCUGUAAGUUAAUUGAUUAUUUCAAAUCAUCACAUAUAUUUGUUAGUCUUUUUAUUAUAUAUAUUUUAAAAUUAUUUUUAUUCAAUUAUUAUGAUCCUGAUUCGUAAUUCAAAGCGCUAGAUUUCCUUUAUCAAUAUUUUUUUAUGUUUAUUCAUUUAAGAUAAUAACUAUAUAUAUAUAU